UCCUUCAUGAGAAUGGCCCAU
This 21-nucleotide microRNA is filed under the name Marchantia polymorpha subsp. ruderalis. Lineage: Eukaryota; Viridiplantae; Streptophyta; Marchantiopsida; Marchantiales; Marchantiaceae. The record is from RNAcentral.